CACUACUACCAACCACAUAUGGCAAGAUGAGUAACGACUAAACCCUUGAGAAAUUAACAACUGGAUCAUGGAGACACUGCUGUUACAGCAGUAAAGGGCAGCAGUGGCCAGCACAUGGCAGUCCAGGGUGGCAACAACAGUGGACAGGACAGUGUCCAGGGUGGCAGCAGUGGCCGGCCUAGGACAGGACAGUGUCCAGGGUGGCAGCAGC
Homarus americanus (American lobster) is the source of this 211-nucleotide long non-coding RNA. RefSeq lists it as uncharacterized. The record is from RefSeq and is a predicted model, not a curated record. NCBI's taxonomy places the organism in Eukaryota, Metazoa, Arthropoda, Malacostraca, Decapoda, Nephropidae. The transcript has 3 exons.